CCUACGGGUGGCUGCAGUAAGGAAUAUUGGUCAAUGGACGAAAGUCUGAACCAGCCAUGCCGCGUGGAGGAUGAAGGUCCUCUGGAUUGUAAACUUCUUUUAUAUGGGACGAAAAAAGGCUUUUCUAAGUCGUCUGACGGUACCAUAUGAAUAAGCACCGGCUAACUCCGUGCCAGCAGCCGCGGUACUACGGAGGGUGCAAGCGUUAUCGGGAUUCACGGGUUUUAAGGUGUGCUGGUAAGUGUUGGGAGAAAUCCCCGAGCUUAACUUGGGAACUGCCAUUGAUACUAUCAGUCUUGAAUACCGUGGAGGUCAGCGGAAUAUGUCAUGUAGCGGUGAAAUGCUUAGAUAUGACAUAGAACACCAAUUGCGAAGGCAGCUGGCUACCCGAAUAUUGACACUGAGGCACGAAAGCGUGGGGAUCAAACAGGAUUAGAUACCCGAGUAGUC
This 450-nucleotide ribosomal RNA is filed under the name uncultured bacterium. Its description in RNAcentral is "partial 16S ribosomal RNA". It matches the Rfam family "Bacterial small subunit ribosomal RNA", at positions 338 to 795 of the family's 1533-position model. The record is from RNAcentral.